Ribosomal RNA from Pseudoalteromonas ulvae, 2076 nucleotides. It matches the Rfam family "Bacterial large subunit ribosomal RNA", at positions 559 to 2627 of the family's 2925-position model. Lineage: Bacteria; Pseudomonadati; Pseudomonadota; Gammaproteobacteria; Alteromonadales; Pseudoalteromonadaceae. The record is from Rfam.
UGUACGUACAAGCAGUAGGAGCAUACUUGUUAUGUGACUGCGUACCUUUUGUAUAAUGGGUCAGCGACUUAUAUUUUGUAGCGAGGUUAACCAAUUAGGGGAGCCGUAGGGAAACCGAGUCUUAACUGGGCGUAUAGUUGCAAGGUAUAGACCCGAAACCCGGUGAUCUAGCCAUGGGCAGGUUGAAGGUUGAGUAACAUCAACUGGAGGACCGAACCCACUAACGUUGAAAAGUUAGGGGAUGACUUGUGGCUAGGAGUGAAAGGCUAAUCAAACCGGGAGAUAGCUGGUUCUCCCCGAAAUCUAUUUAGGUAGAGCCUCGGACGAAUACUUACGGGGGUAGAGCACUGUUAAGGCUAGGGGGUCAUCCCGACUUACCAACCCUUUGCAAACUCCGAAUACCGUAAAGUAAUAUCCGGGAGACACACGGCGGGUGCUAACGUCCGUCGUGAAGAGGGAAACAACCCAGACCGCCAGCUAAGGUCCCAAAGUGUAUGUUAAGUGGGAAACGAUGUGGAAAGGCCCAGACAGCCAGGAGGUUGGCUUAGAAGCAGCCAUCCUUUAAAGAAAGCGUAAUAGCUCACUGGUCGAGUCGGUCUGCGCGGAAGAUGUAACGGGGCUAAACAUACCACCGAAGCUGCGGCUGCRUACUUAUGUAUGCGGGGUAGGGGAGCGUUCUGUAAGCCGUUGAAGGUGAACCGGGAGGUUUGCUGGAGGUAUCAGAAGUGCGAAUGCUGACAUGAGUAACGAUAAUGCGGGUGAAAAACCCGCACGCCGGAAGACCAAGGGUUCCUAUCCCAUGUUAAUCAGGGUAGGGUGAGUCGACCCCUAAGGCGAGGCGGAAACGCGUAGUCGAUGGGAAACGGGUUAAUAUUCCCGUACUCGGCAUGAAUGCGAUGGGGAGACGGAGCAGGCUAGGCAAGCAUGGCGUUGGUUGUCCAUGUGAAAGUAAGUAGGUUGAGAACUUAGGCAAAUCCGGGUUCUUAAGACUGAGAUACGAGACGAGUCACUACGGUGAUGAAGUUGUUGAUGCCAUACUUCCAGGAAAAUCCUCUAAGCUUCAGUUCAUGCUGAAUCGUACCCCAAACCGACACAGGUGGUCAGGUAGAGAAUACUAAGGCGCUUGAGAGAACUCGGGUGAAGGAACUAGGCAAAAUAGUACCGUAACUUCGGGAGAAGGUACGCUGCUGACGGUGAUAGGACUUGCUCCUUAAGCUGUUGGCAGUCACAGUAACCAGGUGGCUGGGACUGUUUAUUAAAAACACAGCACUGUGCAAAAUCGAAAGAUGACGUAUACGGUGUGACACCUGCCCGGUGCCGGAAGGUUAAUUGAUGGGGUUAUCUUCGGAGAAGCUCUUGAUCGAAGCCCCGGUAAACGGCGGCCGUAACUAUAACGGUCCUAAGGUAGCGAAAUUCCUUGUCGGGUAAGUUCCGACCUGCACGAAUGGUGUAACCAUGGCCACGCUGUCUCCACCCGAGACUCAGUGAAAUUGAAAUCGCAGUGAAGAUGCUGUGUACCCGCGGCUAGACGGAAAGACCCCGUGAACCUUUACUACAGCUUGGCACUGAACAUUGAACCUACAUGUGUAGGAUAGGUGGGAGACUUUGAAGCAGCGACGCUAGUUGUUGUGGAGUCGUCCUUGAAAUACCACCCUUGUAGUUUUGAUGUUCUAACGUAGGCCCCUAAUCGGGGUUGCGGACAGUGCCUGGUGGGUAGUUUGACUGGGGCGGUCUCCUCCCAAAGAGUAACGGAGGAGCACGAAGGUUUGCUAAGUACGGUCGGACAUCGUACGGUUAGUGUAAUGGUAGAAGCAAGCUUAACUGCGAGACGGACAAGUCGAGCAGGUACGAAAGUAGGUCAUAGUGAUCCGGUGGUUCUGAAUGGAAGGGCCAUCGCUCAACGGAUAAAAGGUACUCCGGGGAUAACAGGCUGAUACCGCCCAAGAGUUCAUAUCGACGGCGGUGUUUGGCACCUCGAUGUCGGCUCAUCACAUCCUGGGGCUGAAGUCGGUCCCAAGGGUAUGGCUGUUCGCCAUUUAAAGUGGUACGCGAGCUGGGUUUAGAACGUCGUGAGAC